RNAcentral lists this small nuclear RNA (99 nucleotides) under Rhinolophus ferrumequinum (greater horseshoe bat). The record is from RNAcentral. Lineage: Eukaryota; Metazoa; Chordata; Mammalia; Chiroptera; Rhinolophidae.
GUGCUUACUUUGGCAGCACACAUCUUAAAAGUGGAACAAUAUAGAAAAGAUCCCCUGCACAAAGGUGACACACAAAUUCAUAAAGCAUUCCACAUUUCU